GAUCAUGGCUCAGGAUGAACGCUAGCGACAGGCUUAACACAUGCAAGUCGAGGGGCAGCGGGGAGUAGCAAUACUUCGCCGGCGACCGGCGCACGGGCGAGUAACACGUGUGCAACCAACCCCGUACCGGGAGAUAACCCGCGGAAACGUGGACUAACAUCCCAUAAGACUCUAGAGCCGCACGGCUUUGGAUUUAAAAUUCCGGUGGUACGGGACGGGCACGCGCGACAUUAGGUAGUUGGCGGGGUAACGGCCCACCAAGCCGACG
This 268-nucleotide ribosomal RNA is filed under the name uncultured bacterium. RNAcentral's name for it is "partial 16S ribosomal RNA". It matches the Rfam family "Bacterial small subunit ribosomal RNA", at positions 15 to 278 of the family's 1533-position model. The record is from RNAcentral.